UUUAAACAAGGCUGCAAUGUAGAGUUAUCUACUGGAACAUGAGCAAUUCACCAGUGUAACACCUGUGAAGACAAUGAUUCUCUACUUUCCACAGGCAUCAACUGCCAGUAUCUCAAGAGUCCAGGCCCCAAUGCUGACUCUCAGUCCAUGACGGAAUGUUGACAGGUCCACACUUGUGCAUGUCGUGCAAUGGCCACAACUGCAAUAACUUCCCACCUGCAACCUUAUCCAAAACAACUAACUUAGAAUGUUCUCUCAUCUUCCUGAGACUCAUAUGCCCUGAGAUCACCAAUGUUCUAGCUGGAAGGUAUGUCCCUAGUAUUUUGGUGGUUAAGAAAGCAUUCUAAGGACUGUGGGGUUUU
This is a long non-coding RNA of Mastomys coucha (southern multimammate mouse), 362 nucleotides long. RefSeq lists it as uncharacterized. NCBI's taxonomy places the organism in Eukaryota, Metazoa, Chordata, Mammalia, Rodentia, Muridae. The record is from RefSeq and is a predicted model, not a curated record. The transcript has 3 exons.